CCUACGGGUGGCAGCAGUGAGGAAUAUUGGUCAAUGGGCGAGAGCCUGAACCAGCCAAGUCGCGUGAAGGAUGAAGGAUCUAUGGUUUGUAAACUUCUUUUAUAUGGGAAUAAAGUGAGGAACGUGUUCCUUUUUGUAUGUACCAUAUGAAUAAGCAUCGGCUAACUCCGUGCCAGCAGCGGCGGUAAUACGGAGGAUGCGAGCGUUAUCCGGAUUUAUUGGGUUUAAAGGGUGCGUAGGUGGUUCAUUAAGUCAGCGGUGAAAUUUUGUGGCUCAACCAUAAAAUUGCCGUUGAAACUGGUUGGCUUGAGUAUAUUUGAGGUAGGCGGAAUGCGUGGUGUAGCGGUGAAAUGCAUAGAUAUCACGAAGAACACCGAUGGCGAAGGCAGCUUACUAAACGAUAACUGACACUGAGGCACGAAAGCGUGGGGAUCAAACAGGAUUAGAUACCCGAGUAGUC
Molecule: ribosomal RNA, 460 nt
Filed under: uncultured bacterium
Lineage: Bacteria
Description: partial 16S ribosomal RNA
Rfam family: Bacterial small subunit ribosomal RNA
Source: RNAcentral